Molecule: ribosomal RNA, 392 nt
Filed under: uncultured bacterium
Lineage: Bacteria
Description: partial 16S ribosomal RNA
Rfam family: Bacterial small subunit ribosomal RNA
Source: RNAcentral
AUACGGAGGACGCGAGCGUUAUCCGGAAUCAUUGGGCUUAAAGCGCGCGCAGGCGGACAUUUAAGUCAGCGGUGAAAUCGUGGGGCUCAACCCCAGUCUGCCGUUGAUACUGGGUGGCUUGAUUGCGGUCGAGGUUGGCGGAAUUCGUUGUGGAGCGGUGAAAUGCAUAGAUAUGACGAAGAACACCGAUUGCGUAGGCCGCUGGCCAGCACGUGAAUGUCGCUCAUGCACGAAAGUGCUGGGAUCGAACAGGAUUAGAUGCCCUGGUAGUCCGCACAGUAAACGCUGAAUACUUGUUUUCGGCGAUAUACUGUCGGAGGCAAAGCGAAAGCGAUAAGUAUGCCACCUGGGGAGUGCGCCGGCAACGGUGAAACUCAAAGGAAUUGACGGGG